UACGUAGGGUGCGAGCGUUAAUCGGAAUUACUGGGCGUAAAGCGCACGUAGGCGGUUUUUUAAGUCAGAUGUGAAAGCCCCGGGCUCAACCUGGGAAUUGCAUUUGAAACUGGGAAACUAGAGUGUGUGAGAGGGGGGUAGAAUUCCAAGUGUAGCGGUGAAAUGCGUAGAGAUUUGGAGGAAUACCAGUGGCGAAGGCGGCCCCCUGGCACAAUACUGACGCUGAGGUGCGAAAGCGUGGGGAGCAAACAGG
This 253-nucleotide ribosomal RNA is filed under the name uncultured bacterium. Its description in RNAcentral is "partial 16S ribosomal RNA". It matches the Rfam family "Bacterial small subunit ribosomal RNA", at positions 524 to 776 of the family's 1533-position model. The record is from RNAcentral.